This is a non-coding RNA of Paramisgurnus dabryanus, 690 nucleotides long. Lineage: Eukaryota; Metazoa; Chordata; Actinopteri; Cypriniformes; Cobitidae. The record is from RefSeq and is a predicted model, not a curated record.
UCAGCCUCAGUCAACAAUCAGCAUCAAGCGCAACCUCCAGUUCAUGUUCCACAGAAAGGCAAGGGGAGUGGGAUGAAAGAAAAUGGAUUGUGAACGAGUCUAGCCUCAUGACACUGUUUAGAACAUGCCAUACAUGUGCCGUACCCAUCACUGAUAAAUCAUGGCAGGUGGGCAUCAUGUCCUGAUACAAGAGGAAUGGCACAGAAUAACCUGCUUGUUUCUGCUGCUAUGCUUCUGCUACUUUCACUGAAGUACACGACUGGGCCAGAAUACUAAACUUGCAACUCUUGCAGAAAUCGCAGUACUACUCCAUCCAAUCACACUACCUUAUUCCAGUAGUACACUUUGCAUACAGGAAUCAUCAUGAGAAUCUCAUCAAGCGCCUUAUGAGACAAAAGGCUGAAGGCGAGUCAAUAGAGCUGUGUGGAGAUGCAAGGUCUGACUCACCAGGCUACAGCUGCAAGUAUUCCACCUAUUCGUUUCAGCUUCUAUCCACUAAUGAGAUCAUCCACUUUGAACUACUACAGGUAACGGAAGCUAGCAGUUCAGUUGCCAUGGAGUCCCAAGGCUGUAGGAGAGGCCUCAACCAUCUAAUUUUUAACGAAGGACUAGACAUAGAUCUCAUCACUACAGAUCGGGCCCCAUCAGUUCGGAAAAUAAUGAGGGAGGAAUUCCAUAUGAUUCAUCACG